This 212-nucleotide ribosomal RNA is filed under the name uncultured bacterium. Its description in RNAcentral is "partial 16S ribosomal RNA". It matches the Rfam family "Bacterial small subunit ribosomal RNA", at positions 1290 to 1500 of the family's 1533-position model. The record is from RNAcentral.
AGUUCGGAUCGCAGGCUGCAACCCGCCUGCGUGAAGUCGGAAUCGCUAGUAAUCGCGGAUCAGCAUGCCGCGGUGAAUACGUUCCCGGGCCUUGUACACACCGCCCGUCACACCAUGAGAGUCGGGAACACCCGAAGUCCGUAGCCUAACCAAUCUGGAGGGCGCGGCCGAAGGUGGGUUCGAUAAUUGGGGUGAAGUCGUAACAAGGUACC